Molecule: ribosomal RNA, 266 nt
Filed under: Bombax ceiba (Indian kapok)
Lineage: Eukaryota; Viridiplantae; Streptophyta; Magnoliopsida; Malvales; Malvaceae
Description: 4.5S ribosomal RNA
Source: RNAcentral
CCGCCCUUCCAUCCCGUGGAUAGAUAGAGAGGGAGGGCAGAGCUUUUGGUUUUUUCAUGUUGUCAAAGAGUUGAACAAUAGGUUUUUCGUGUUGUCAAAGAGUUGAACAAUGAAAAUAGAUGGCGAGUGCCUGAUCGAAUUGAUCGGGUCAUGUAGGAACAAGGUUCAAGUCUACCGGUCUGUUAGGAUGCCUCAGCUGCAUACAUCACUGCACUUCCACUUGACACCUAUCGUAAUGAUAAACGGCUCGUCUCGCCGUGACCUUC